Meleagris gallopavo (turkey) is the source of this 980-nucleotide non-coding RNA. NCBI's taxonomy places the organism in Eukaryota, Metazoa, Chordata, Aves, Galliformes, Phasianidae. The record is from RefSeq and is a predicted model, not a curated record.
UACAGCUUGCCUGACCUGAUUAUCUUGGCUGCAGUAACAACUAGUGAAAAAGUCUGGCCAGCAUUCAAGUGUGAUUCAUCCCAAUGUAAGUGAGGUCUCUGUGCAGCAUCCCAUGGAAGGCAAACUGAGCCAGUUACUGCCUAAAAAGGAGAGUUCAGCUGAGAAAGAACAAUGUAACCCUCUUCAUCCUGAUGUGACUAAGGACUGGAAGUCUGAUGAAUAGGAGCAAUCAUCCAAAAGCACUACUGUCAGUCUAACUUUGCAGUUUUGGUUGAAGAUCUUUCCUGUAGGCUACAACAAUACUGAAACUGGCUUAAAGAUUUUGUCUUAGGCUCUUUUUUAGUUUUGUAUCAAAUGUUAUCACUACGGUAUCUCUGCACUGCAAGUAUAAUUUCCUCCUUUUUGACAGGGGUUUCUAGUCAAAAUUUACCCCUGUGGAGGUAAAGAAAGCUCUAAUAAUUUCUUGAGUAAAUAAUCACAGAUAAUGUACCCUAUUCUAAAAGGAGUACUUUCUGUUUGCCAUUGUCCACUAUCUGUAAAUCUCAGAUGUUUAUUCAUUAGGGUAGUGAUUAUAAACCCAGUCUUCCAGGGAACAGCCAUAGUCAUUAAGCAAUGGGGUCUGAAUAUUUACUAUGAAUAUUUUUAAGUAUUUUAUAUUAAGUAGAUUAGCUUCACUGACAGGAGAUGAGGGAUUUUAGAGUAUGCUCUUGUGUGAUAGCCUGUUCAUUCUUGAUCUGGUAGAACAUUUUCUGUUGGGAGGAUAAGAUGUGACUUCAAAUCUGUGUUCCAAAGCAAGUGGGAAAAGAAAGUAAGACUGCACAUUUUGCUUGAGUGCACCAUGCACCGGGCUACUGAACAUUUGAAAUGGGUCACCAGGUUUUGCUUAUGAUUCAAGCUGGUAAAGAUGUCCUGAAAUAUUAUAUAAGGACUUGCCAAGAAGAAAAACACAGCUACAGUUUGUGAAUCUUGCUACAGUUUGG